RNAcentral lists this RNase P RNA (369 nucleotides) under Thiobaca trueperi. Its description in RNAcentral is "Bacterial RNase P class A". It matches the Rfam family "Bacterial RNase P class A". Rfam says of the family: Ribonuclease P (RNase P) is a ubiquitous endoribonuclease, found in archaea, bacteria and eukarya as well as chloroplasts and mitochondria. Lineage: Bacteria; Pseudomonadati; Pseudomonadota; Gammaproteobacteria; Chromatiales; Chromatiaceae. The record is from Rfam by way of RNAcentral.
GGAGUUGGCCAGACAGUCGCUCUUUCCAUGCGGGAAGGGAGGAAAGUCCGGGCUCCAUCGGGCGAGGUGCCAGGUAACGCCUGGGGGGCGUGAGUCCACGGAAAGUGCCACAGAAAACAAACCGCCGAUCCCGCGCCCGUCGUGGGAGGUAAGGGUGAAAUGGUGCGGUAAGAGCGCACCGCGCCGGUGGCAACAUCGGUGGCAGGGUAAACCCCACCUGGAGCAAGACCAAAUAGGGGAACCGGCAGUUUCGGCUGCGCCGCGCGGCCCGCGCGUGUUCCCGGGUAGGUCGCUUGAGGCGCGCGGCGACGCGCGUCCCAGAUGAAUGACUGUCCACGACAGAACCCGGCUUAUCGGCUAACUCCCUUC